Long non-coding RNA from Oncorhynchus tshawytscha (Chinook salmon), 1292 nucleotides. The record is from Ensembl. Lineage: Eukaryota; Metazoa; Chordata; Actinopteri; Salmoniformes; Salmonidae.
GUCACAGGGAGGUAAAACAUGUUAACACAGCAACUGCUGACACUUCUGCUCGGACUGAUAGACACGCCCACUUUUCUGCAUGUUCAAACAGGUGAUUGGAGAUUUGUUUCCGUGUGUAACCCAUAAGACCAUGUGAACCUCCCAGUCUGCAGCUUUCAGCUGUAUCCACACUAGGUGCACCAGUCGACAGAAAAGUCAGGUUUUGGGGAUUCAACUCGAUCCGGAGUCAGGUGGAUAGAAGAUCCUGCAACCACUUUGUCAAUUUAAAUGCAAAACAGAGAUCUGGGGAAGAGAGAUACGAUGACCCGUUCCCCUGACUUAUCUGGUCUGGGGAUCAUUCAGCUGGGAAAGACUGGAGCAGGGAUGAGUGCAACCGGAAACACCAAACAGGUGUUUAUAGAAGAGUUCUCUUCUGAGUCUGUGACGACACAAUGUGAAGAUAUCCAGAGGAUGAAGAGGACAGCUUCAGACACUACUGAAACAGGAGGAGGAGGAGGAGCAGCAGCAGGAGUAGGUGCAGCAGCAGGAGGAGGUGGAGUAGGUGCAGAAGCAGGAGGAAAAGCUGCAGCAGCAGGAGGUGGAGUAGGUGCAGAAGCAGGAAGAUAAAGAGCAGGAGCAGCAGGAGGAGUAACAGAAGGCGUACUAGCAGGAGCAGCAGUAGGAGUAUCACUACUAGCUUUGGAAUUACCAUUAGGAGUACCAGGAUGAGCAACGGGAGCAACAGAAGGCGUACUAGGAGGAGAAACAGAAGGCAUACUAGGAGGAGCAACAGAAGGCGUACUAGGAGGAGCAACAGGAGUAGGAGUAACAGAAGGCGUACUAGGAGGAGCAACAGGAGUAGGAGUAACAGAAGGCGUACUAGGAGGAGCAACAGGAGUAGGAGUAACAGAAGGCGUACUAGGAGGAGCAACAGGAGUAGGAGUAACAGAAGGCGUACUAGGAGGAGCAACAGGAGUAGGAGUAACAAGGCGUACUAGGAGGAGCAACAGGAGUAACAGAAGGCGUACUAGGAGGAGCAACAGGAGUAGGCGUAACAAGGCGUACUAGGAGGAGCAACAGGAGUAGGAGUAACAAGGCGUACUAGGAGGAGCAACAGGAGUAACAGAAGGCCUACUAGGAGUAGGAGUAACAGAAGCUGUACAAGGAGGAACAACAGGAGUAGGAGUAACAGAAGGCGUACCAGCAGCAGUAGGAGCAUCACUACUGGCUUUGGGAAUACCAGCAGGAAUAGUAGGAGUAUCACUACUGGCUUUGGGAAUAGCAGCAGGAAUAGUAGGAGCAUCACUACUGGC